Molecule: ribosomal RNA, 253 nt
Filed under: uncultured bacterium
Lineage: Bacteria
Description: partial 16S ribosomal RNA
Rfam family: Bacterial small subunit ribosomal RNA
Source: RNAcentral
UACGUAGGGUGCGAGCGUUAAUCGGAAUUACUGGGCGUAAAGCGUGCGCAGGCGGGCUUUUAAGCCAGACGUGAAAUCCCCGGGCUUAACCUGGGAAUGGCAUUGGAAACUGGCGGGCUUGAGUGUGGCAGAGGGGGGUGGAAUUCCGCGUGUAGCAGUGAAAUGCGUAGAGAUGCGGAGGAACACCCGAGGCGAAGGCGGCUCUCUGGGUCGUACCUGACGCUGAGGCGCGAAAGCGUGGGGAGCGAACGGG